UACGGAGGGUGCGAGCGUUAAUCGGAAUAACUGGGCGUAAAGGGCACGUAGGCGGGCUUUUAAGUGAGAGGUGAAAUCCCCGGGCUUAACCUGGGAAUAGCAUUUCAGACUGGGAGUCUAGAGUAAGUUAGGGGGGGGUAGAAUUCCACGUGUAGCGGUGAAAUGCGUAGAGAUGUGGAGGAAUACCGAAGGCGAAGGCAGCCCCUUGGGCAUGUACUGACGCUCAUGUGCGAAAGCGUGGGGAGCAAACAGG
Molecule: ribosomal RNA, 253 nt
Filed under: uncultured bacterium
Lineage: Bacteria
Description: partial 16S ribosomal RNA
Rfam family: Bacterial small subunit ribosomal RNA
Source: RNAcentral